AUGCACGCUAGCUACAGGCUUAACACAUGCAAGUCGAGGGGCAGCAUGAUUGAAGCUUGCUUCAAUCGAUGGCGACCGGCGAACGGGUGAGUAACACGUAUCCAACCUGCCGAUAACUCGGGGAUAGCCUUUCGAAAGAAAGAUUAAUACCCGAUAGUAUAGUAUUUCCGCAUGGUUUCACUAUUAAAGAACUUCGGUUAUCGAUGGGGAUGCGUUCCCUUAGAUAGUUGGCGGGGUAACGGCCCACCAAGUCAACGAUGGAUAGGGGUUCUGAGAGGAAGGUCCCCCACAUUGGAACUGGGACACGGUCCAAACGCCUACGGGAGGCAGCAGUGAGGAAUAUUGGACAAUGGACGAGAGUCUGAACCAGCCAAGUAGCGUGAAGGAUGACUGCCAUAUGGGUUGUAAACUUCUUUUAUACGGGAAUAAAGUGGAGUAUGCAUACUCCUUUGUAUGAACCGGAUGAAUAAGGAUCGGCUAACUCCGUG
This 488-nucleotide ribosomal RNA is filed under the name uncultured bacterium. Its description in RNAcentral is "partial 16S ribosomal RNA". It matches the Rfam family "Bacterial small subunit ribosomal RNA", at positions 29 to 507 of the family's 1533-position model. The record is from RNAcentral.